RNAcentral lists this ribosomal RNA (564 nucleotides) under uncultured archaeon. RNAcentral describes it as "bacterial SSU rRNA". It matches the Rfam family "Archaeal small subunit ribosomal RNA", at positions 1 to 570 of the family's 1478-position model. The record is from RNAcentral.
UUCCGGUUGAUCCCGCCGGANGCUACCGCUAUUGGAGUUCGAUUAAGCCAUGCGAGUCGAGAGUCUUAGGGACUCGGCGUACCGCUCAGUAACACGUGGGUAACCUGCCCUAUGCUGGGGAAUAACCUCGGGAAACCGAGAAUAAUGCCCCAUAGUCCACAAUGCCUGGAACGGUUUGUGGAUUAAAGCUCCGGCGGCAUAGGAUGGGCCUGCGGCGUAUCAGGUCGUAGGGGGUGUAACGUACCCUCUAGCCAUCGACGCGUACGGGUGUUGGGAGACAUAGCCCGGAGAUGGAUUCUGAGACACGAAUCCAGACCCUACGGGGUGCAGCAGGCGCGAAAACUUGGCAAUGCGAGAAAUCGUGACCAGGGAACUCCAAGUGGCUGGGGUAAGACCCAGUCUUUUCUUGACUCUUCAAAGGUCUUGGAAUAAGGGGUGGGUAAGGACGGUGCCAGCCGCCGCGGUAAUACCGGCGCCUCAAGUGGUAGUCGAUUUUAUUGGGCCUAAAACGUCCGUAGCCUGUUUGGUACAUUCGUGGGUAAAUCAACCAGCUCAACUGAUUGA